Molecule: small nuclear RNA, 336 nt
Filed under: Pogona vitticeps (central bearded dragon)
Lineage: Eukaryota; Metazoa; Chordata; Lepidosauria; Squamata; Agamidae
Description: 7SK RNA (ENSPVIG00000013182.1)
Rfam family: 7SK RNA
About the family: 7SK was discovered as an abundant small nuclear RNA in the mid-70s but a possible function has only recently been suggested. Two independent studies have found that 7SK RNA binds the CDK9/cyclin T complex (known as elongation factor P-TEFb). P-TEFb activates transcription by phosphorylating the C-terminal domain of RNA polymerase II.
Source: Rfam by way of RNAcentral
GUUUGUGAAAGUGAUCUGGCUGCCACAUCUGUCACCCCAUUGAUCACCAGAGUUGAUUCAGCUGAUCUGGCUAGCUAGGUGGGUUCCUCUUCCUCCCUCAGCACUCCAUGUGCAUCCCUCCUGAAGCUGCGUGCUCAAUGGAAGAGGACAACCAUCCCAGAUGGAAACAGUGUACUGUUCUUUGGUCAAAGGUGUACAAUAGCUGCAUUCCCGUGCUAGAACCUCCAACAAGCUCAUAUCCAUACUAUGCCAUUUUAUCAUAUUCAAGGGAGGUUUUACCCCAGCCCCCAUUCCAAGCAAAUCUCUCCUGUGCAGAGCAGCUUUUUGGUUGGUGGG